AUUGAACGCUGGCGGCAGGCCUAGCACAUGCAAGUCGAGCGGAUGAAGGGAGCUUGCUCCUGGAUUCAGCGGCGGACGGGUGAGUAAUGCCUAGGAAUCUGCCUGGUAGUGGGGGAUAACGUCCGGAAACGGGCGCUAAUACCGCAUACGUCCUGAGGGAGAAAGUGGGGGAUCUUCGGACCUCACGCUAUCAGAUGAGCCUAGGUCGGAUUAGCUAGUUGGUGGGGUAAAGGCCUACCAAGGCGACGAUCCGUAACUGGUCUGAGAGGAUGAUCAGUCACACUGGAACUGAGACACGGUCCAGACUCCUACGGGAGGCAGCAGUGGGGAAUAUCGGACAAUGGGCGAAAGCCUGAUCCAGCCAUGCCGCGUGUGUGAAGAAGGUCUUCGGAUUGUAAAGCACUUUAAGUUGGGAGGAAGGGCAGUAAGUUAAUACCUUGCUGUUUUGACGUUACCAACAGAAUAAGCACCGGCUAACUUCGUG
RNAcentral lists this ribosomal RNA (484 nucleotides) under uncultured bacterium. RNAcentral describes it as "partial 16S ribosomal RNA". It matches the Rfam family "Bacterial small subunit ribosomal RNA", at positions 30 to 507 of the family's 1533-position model. The record is from RNAcentral.